RNAcentral lists this ribosomal RNA (36 nucleotides) under Streptomyces caelestis. RNAcentral also lists the same sequence under 8 other names. Lineage: Bacteria; Bacillati; Actinomycetota; Actinomycetes; Kitasatosporales; Streptomycetaceae. The record is from RNAcentral.
GAAACGCCCGGUUACAUUCCGAACCCGGAAGCUAAG